GACGAACGCUGGCGGCGUGCCUAAUACAUGCAAGUCGAGCGGACGAAUCGAAAGCUUGCUUUUGAUUCGUUAGCGGCGGACGGGUGAGUAACACGUGGGCAACCUGCCCUGUAGACGGGGAUAACACCGAGAAAUCGGUGCUAAUACCGGAUAACACGAAAUGUCGCAUGACGUUUCGUUGAAAGACGGCGCAAGCUGUCGCUACAGGAUGGGCCCGCGGCGCAUUAGCUAGUCGGUGAGGUAACGGCUCACCAAGGCGACGAUGCGUAGCCGACCUGAGAGGGUGAUCGGCCACACUGGGACUGAGACACGGCCCAGACUCCUACGGGAGGCAGCAGUAGGGAAUCUUCCGCAAUGGACGAAAGUCUGACGGAGCAACGCCGCGUGAGCGAAGAAGGACUUCGGGUCGUAAAGCUCUGUUGUUAGGGAAGAACAAGUAACGCAGUAACUGGCGUUACCGUGACGGUACCUAACGAGAAAGCCACGGCUAACUACGUG
Molecule: ribosomal RNA, 498 nt
Filed under: uncultured bacterium
Lineage: Bacteria
Description: partial 16S ribosomal RNA
Rfam family: Bacterial small subunit ribosomal RNA
Source: RNAcentral